This is a long non-coding RNA of Limulus polyphemus (Atlantic horseshoe crab), 835 nucleotides long. RefSeq lists it as uncharacterized. The record is from RefSeq and is a predicted model, not a curated record. Lineage: Eukaryota; Metazoa; Arthropoda; Merostomata; Xiphosura; Limulidae. The transcript is spliced from 3 exons.
UUAUAAUCUUGAGGUCUAGUGUGUAGACUGCAAUUAUAAUCUUGAGGUCUAGUGUGUAGACUACAGUUAUAAUCUUGAGGUCUAGUGUGUGGACUGCAAUUAUAAUCUUGAGGUCUAGUGUGUAGACUGCAAUUAUAAUCUUGAGGUCUAGUGUGUGGACUGCAAUUAUAAUCUUGAGGUCUAGUGUGCAGACUGCAAUUAUAAUCUUGAAGUGUGUAGACUACAAUUAUAAUCUUCAGGUCCAGUGUGUAGACUACAGUUAUAAUCUUGAGGUCUAGUGUGUAGACUACAAUUAUAAUCUUGAAGUGUGUAGAUUACAGUUAUAAUAUUCAUGUCUAGUGUGUAGACUGCAAUUAUAAUCUUCAGGUCUAGUGUGUAGACUGCAAUUAUAAUCUUGAAGUGUGUAGACUACAAUUAUAAUCUUCAGGUCUAGUGUGUAGACUGCAAUUAUAAUCUUCAGGUCUAGUGUGUAGACUACAGUUAUAAUCUUGAGGUCUAGUGUGUAGACUGCAAUUAUAAUCUUCAGGUCUAGUGUAUAGACUACAGUUAUAAUCUUGAAGUCUAGUGUGUAGAUUACAAUUAUAAUCUUCAGGUCUAGUGUGUAGACUGCAAUUAUAAUCUUGAGGUCUAGUGUGUAGACUGCAAUUAUAAUCUUGAGGUCUAGUGUGCAGACUGCAAUUAUAAUCUUGAAGUGUGUAGACUACAAUUAUAAUCUUCAGGUCUAGUGUGUAGACUACAGUUAUAAUCUUGAGGUCUAGUGUGUAGACUGCAAUUAUAAUCUUCAGGUCUAGUGUAUAGACUACAGUUAUAAUCUUGAAGUCUAGUGUGUAGAUUA